GAAAUGCGAUAAGUAGUGUGAAUUGCAGAAUUCAGUGAAUCAUCGAAUCUUUGAACGCACAUUGCGCCCCUUGGUAUUCCAUGGGGCAUGCCUGUUCGAGCGUCAUUUGUACCCUCAAGCUCUGCUUGGUGUUGGGUGUUUGUCCCGUCUCCGCGCGUGGACUCGCCCCAAAGUGAUUGGCAGCCGGGGUACUGGUCCCGGAGCGCAGCACAUGUCGCGCAAACGAGUGCCUUGGUACGGCGGCGUCCAUAAGCCCCUCUCUCACGCUCUUGACCUCGGAUCAGGUAGGGAUACCCGCUGAACUUAAGC
Molecule: unclassified non-coding RNA, 309 nt
Filed under: plant metagenome
Description: partial contains 5.8S ribosomal RNA, internal transcribed spacer 2, and large subunit ribosomal RNA
Rfam family: 5.8S ribosomal RNA (bases 1-105)
Source: RNAcentral